GGUUCGAUGGCGUAGUUGGUUAUCGCAUCUGUCUAACAUCCUCCAGAAUAUGAAUUUACACAGAAGGUCCCCGGUUCGAGCCCGGGUUAGGGACUA
Gymnopus androsaceus JB14 is the source of this 96-nucleotide non-coding RNA. The record is from the annotation of a GenBank genome assembly. NCBI's taxonomy places the organism in Eukaryota, Fungi, Basidiomycota, Agaricomycetes, Agaricales, Omphalotaceae.